Molecule: ribosomal RNA, 408 nt
Filed under: uncultured bacterium
Lineage: Bacteria
Description: partial 16S ribosomal RNA
Rfam family: Bacterial small subunit ribosomal RNA
Source: RNAcentral
GACGAACGCUGGCGGCGUGCUUAACACAUGCAAGUCGAACGAAGUGGCGAACGGGUGAGUAACGCGUAAUCAACCUGCCCUUCAGAGGGGGACAACAGUUGGAAACGACUGCUAAUACCGCAUACGGAAGGAGGGGAUUGCGUCUGGUUCGCUAGUUGGAGGGGUAACGGCCCACCAAGGCGAUGAUCAGUAGCCUGUCUGAAAGGAUGGACGGUCACCUGUGGAAUGUAGCACGGGUCCGACUCCUACCGGAGGCAGCAGUGGGGAAUCUUCCGCCAUGGACGGAAGUCUGACGGCGCAACGCCGCGUGAGUGAUGACGGCCUUCUGGUUGUUAAGCUCUGUUAAUCGGGACGCGUUACCGGAAUAGAAAGCCACGGCUAACUACGUGCCAGCAGCCGCGGUAAUUC